RNAcentral lists this transfer RNA (73 nucleotides) under Camelus bactrianus (Bactrian camel). It matches the Rfam family "tRNA". From Rfam's summary of the family: Transfer RNA (tRNA) molecules are approximately 80 nucleotides in length. Their secondary structure includes four short double-helical elements and three loops (D, anti-codon, and T loops). RNAcentral also lists the same sequence under 1 other name. Lineage: Eukaryota; Metazoa; Chordata; Mammalia; Artiodactyla; Camelidae. The record is from Rfam by way of RNAcentral.
GGGGAUAUAGCUCAAGUAGUAGAGCGUAUGCUUAGCAUGCAUGAGGCCCUGGGUUCAAUCCCCUGUACCUCCU